This 253-nucleotide ribosomal RNA is filed under the name uncultured bacterium. RNAcentral describes it as "partial 16S ribosomal RNA". It matches the Rfam family "Bacterial small subunit ribosomal RNA", at positions 524 to 776 of the family's 1533-position model. The record is from RNAcentral.
UACGAACUGUGCGAACGUUAUUCGGAAUCACUGGGCUUAAAGGGUGCGUAGGCGGCGGCUCCAGUCAGGUGUGAAAUCCCCCGGCUCAACCGGGGAACAGCGCUUGAAACUAGGUCGCUCGAGUGAGGCAGGGGUGUAUGGAACUUCCGGUGGAGCGGUGAAAUGUGUAGAGAUCGGAAGGAACGCCGGCGGCGAAAGCGGUGCACUGGGCCUUGUCUGACGCUGAGGCACGAAAGCUAGGGGAGUGAACGGG